Molecule: ribosomal RNA, 48 nt
Filed under: Chenopodium quinoa (quinoa)
Lineage: Eukaryota; Viridiplantae; Streptophyta; Magnoliopsida; Caryophyllales; Amaranthaceae
Source: RNAcentral
GCGAUCAUACCAGCCCUAAUGCACCGGAUCCCAUCAGAUCUCCGCAGU